GGAGCUUGCUCCUCUGGAUCAGUGGCGAACGGGUGAGUAACACGUGAGAAAUCUGCCCUGGACUCUGGGAUAAGCGUUGGAAACGACGUCUAAUACCGGAUACGAGACGCGAAGGCAUCUUCAGCGUCUGGAAAGAACUUCGGUCCAGGAUGAUCUCGCGGCCUAUCAGCUAGUUGGUGAGGUAACGGCUCACCAAGGCGACGACGGGUAGCCGGCCUGAGAGGGUGACCGGCCACACUGGGACUGAGACACGGCCCAGACUCCUACGGGAGGCAGCAGUGGGGAAUAUUGCACAAUGGGCGCAAGCCUGAUGCAGCAACGCCGCGUGAGGGACGACGGCCUUCGGGUUGUAAACCUCUUUUAGUUGGGAAGAAGCGAAAGUGACGGUACCUGCAGAAAAAGCACCGGCUAACUACGUGCCAGCAGCCGCGGUAAUACGUAGGGUGCAAGCGUUAUCCGGAAUUAUUGGGCGUAAAGAGCUCGUAGGCGGUUUGUCGCGUCUGCUGUGAAAACCGGAGGCCCAACCUCCGGCCUGCAGUGGGUACGGGCAAACUAGAGUGCGGUAGGGGAGAUUGGAAUUCCUGGUGUAGCGGUGGAAUGCGCAGAUAUCAGGAGGAACACCGAUGGCGA
RNAcentral lists this ribosomal RNA (630 nucleotides) under uncultured bacterium. Its description in RNAcentral is "bacterial SSU rRNA". It matches the Rfam family "Bacterial small subunit ribosomal RNA", at positions 75 to 718 of the family's 1533-position model. The record is from RNAcentral.